AGAGUUUGAUUAUGGCUCAGGAUGAACGCUGGCGGCGUGCUUAACACAUGCAAGUCGAACGGAGUUUAGAUGAAAGCUUGCUUUGACUAAACUUAGUGGCGGACGGGUGAGUAACGCGUGGGUAACCUGCCUUAUACAGGGGGAUAACAGUCGGAAACGACUGCUAAUACCGCAUAAGCGCACGGAAUCGCAUGAUUCAGUGUGAAAAGAUUUAUCGGUAUAAGAUGGACCCGCGUCUGAUUAGCUAGUUGGUGAGGUAACGGCCCACCAAGGCGACGAUCAGUAGCCGGCCUGAGAGGGUGAACGGCCACAUUGGGACUGAGACACGGCCCAAACUCCUACGGGAGGCAGCAGUGGGGAAUAUUGCACAAUGGGGGAAACCCUGAUGCAAGCGACGCCGCGUGAGUGAAGAAGUAUUUCGGUAUGUAAAGCUCUAUCAGCAGGGAAGAAAAUGACGGUACCUGACUAAGAAGCCCCGGCUAACUACGUGCCAGCAGCGGC
This 501-nucleotide ribosomal RNA is filed under the name uncultured bacterium. Its description in RNAcentral is "bacterial SSU rRNA". It matches the Rfam family "Bacterial small subunit ribosomal RNA", at positions 8 to 518 of the family's 1533-position model. The record is from RNAcentral.